This 586-nucleotide ribosomal RNA is filed under the name uncultured bacterium. Its description in RNAcentral is "bacterial SSU rRNA". It matches the Rfam family "Bacterial small subunit ribosomal RNA", at positions 338 to 916 of the family's 1533-position model. The record is from RNAcentral.
CCUACGGGAGGCAGCAGUGGGGAAUAUUGCACAAUGGGCGCAAGCCUGAUGCAGCCAUGCCGCGUGUAUGAAGAAGGCCUUCGGGUUGUAAAGUACUUUCAGUUGUGAGGAAGGGGGUAGUGUUAAUAGCGGUAUCUCUUGACGUUAGCAACAGAAGAAGCACCGGCUAACUCCGUGCCAGCAGCCGCGGUAAUACGGAGGGUGCGAGCGUUAAUCGGAAUUACUGGGCGUAAAGCGCAUGCAGGUGGUUCAUUAAGUCAGAUGUGAAAGCCCGGGGCUCAACCUCGGAACUGCAUUUGAAACUGGUGAACUAGAGUGCUGUAGAGGGGGGUAGAAUUUCAGGUGUAGCGGUGAAAUGCGUAGAGAUCUGAAGGAAUACCAGUGGCGAAGGCGGCCCCCUGGACAGACACUGACACUCAGAUGCGAAAGCGUGGGGAGCAAACAGGAUUAGAUACCCUGGUAGUCCACGCCGUAAACGAUGUCUACUUGGAGGUUGUGGCCUUGAGCCGUGGCUUUCGGAGCUAACGCGUUAAGUAGACCGCCUGGGGAGUACGGUCGCAAGAUUAAAACUCAAAUGAAUUGACGG